GAUGAACGCUGGCGGCGUGCCUAAUACAUGCAAGUCGAGCGAACAGACGAGGAGCUUGCUCCUCUGACGUUAGCGGCGGACGGGUGAGUAACACGUGGAUAACCUACCUAUAAGACUGGGAUAACUUCGGAAAACCGGCGCUAAUACCGGAUAAUAUAUUGAACCGCAUGGUUCAAUAGUGAAAGACGGUUUUGCUGUCACUUCUAGCUGGAUCCGCGCCGCAUUAUCUAGUUGGUACGGUAACGGCUUACCAAGGCGACGAUGCGUAGCCGACCGGUGAGGCGGAUAGGCCACACUGGAACGGAGACGCGGUCCAGACUCCUACGGGAGGCAGCAGUAGGGAAUCUUCCGCAAUGGGCGAAAGCCUGACGGAGCAACGCCGCGUGAGUGAUGAAGGUCUUCGGAUCGUAAAACUCUGUUACUAGGGAAGAACAAAUGUGUAAGUAACUAUGCACGUCUUGACGGUACCUAAUCAGAAAGCCACGGCUAACUACGUG
RNAcentral lists this ribosomal RNA (497 nucleotides) under uncultured bacterium. RNAcentral's name for it is "partial 16S ribosomal RNA". It matches the Rfam family "Bacterial small subunit ribosomal RNA", at positions 28 to 507 of the family's 1533-position model. The record is from RNAcentral.